This 434-nucleotide ribosomal RNA is filed under the name uncultured Ruminococcus sp. Its description in RNAcentral is "bacterial SSU rRNA". It matches the Rfam family "Bacterial small subunit ribosomal RNA", at positions 341 to 792 of the family's 1533-position model. The record is from RNAcentral. Lineage: Bacteria; Bacillati; Bacillota; Clostridia; Eubacteriales; Oscillospiraceae.
ACGGGAGGCAGCAGUGGGGAAUAUUGCACAAUGGGCGCAAGCCUGACGCAGCGAUGCCGCGUGAGGGAAGAAGGUUUUCGGAUUGUAAACCUCUGUCAACAGGGACGAAAAUGACGGUACCUGUGAAGGAAGCUCCGGCUAACUACGUGCCAGCAGCCGCGGUAAUACGUAGGGAGCAAGCGUUAUCCGGAAUUACUGGGUGUAAAGGGAGUGUAGGCGGGACUGUAAGUCAGAUGUGAAAUAUGCCGGCUCAACUGGCAGACUGCAUUUGAAACUGCGGUUCUUGAGUGAAGCAGAGGUAAGCGGAAUUCCUAGUGUAGCGGUGAAAUGCGUAGAUAUUAGGAGGAACAUCAGUGGCGAAGGCGGCUUACUGGGCUUUAACUGACGCUGAGGCUCGAAAGCGUGGGGAGCAAACAGGAUUAGAUACCCUGGUA